Molecule: ribosomal RNA, 2151 nt
Filed under: Triticum aestivum (bread wheat)
Lineage: Eukaryota; Viridiplantae; Streptophyta; Magnoliopsida; Poales; Poaceae
Description: partial small subunit ribosomal RNA
Source: RNAcentral
AUGGCAACGUCGACGCAAAACAUCGAAAAGACACAAGACAAAAACGACGACACCACGGAGGUCCAAAAAGCUCAACUCACCGAAGAAAAGGUCGAAGAGGCAGCACCGGCGGAAAUCACUGAAAAGAAACCUCAACAAGACACGCACACAUACACAAGUAAAGAAGCAAAGGGCCACAGUGCAUUGGAAAACCAUGCGUCAAACAUUCCAGCGAAAGAGUCAGACAGCAACGAGAAAAAGGCCACACCAUCAGACAAGAAACAUUGUGUUGUAAAAGAUGUUGUCGCCAUAAACACGGCGGUAACCCAGGGUAGCACUCAAACAAAACGUGAACCGUUGAUCAUAGAAAACCUGGCCAUCAAAGAAGGGACAAAAGACAAAGGGAUCGAACAACUGUACAACAAUGUCAUGACAGCAAAUAAGGACAAAGGGCACGAGAUUUUAAUAAAUACAGAGACGACAACAGUAACAAUCAGCCACAUGGAACAAAGCUUCGACAUUGGAAAGCCAGUGCGCAGCGAAACCAUGGCAGUCAUGCUACAAAUGUUGAAAAAGCAAUUCAGGGGCACAAAAAGAAAGAUUCUAUCAACAUACAAAACCGGAUCAAUACGCACGGCCAACCAUGAAGAUCCAUUGGAGUUGAAAAAUAAAGACGAAGCACACAUCAGAGACAAGACAAUUCCUAAAAGGCUUAAAAGAUUCCUUGAUCUGGAAGAAGGAGAGAAACUACAAGAUUUCGACAUGGAACAAGUCCCAGAGUUGAGAAAGAAAAUUCUCUAUCAAAUAUUCUACCAAUACAGAGAUACAGCCUCACUUUCAUUAAUCAACUACACCGCAGAUAUGCUGAAACCUGAGGUCGAUAUGGAAGAUAGUGAAAUGGAACGAAUACAUUGUGACAUAAUUCAACAAGAGAUUCCUCCAACUCCCGAGCAAAUUGGGACAAGCGCUCAAGAGAUAAAAGUUAUUGACAUUAAUGACACAAGCAAUGAUGAAGAGAAAGAAGAUUAUCAUUUGAGCGGCAAGGAUACCACCAAGGUGUCUGAAGAAGCACUCACGGAAGAACAAGCCCAGAAAGAUCCUGGUUUACAUAGGGAACAACACGCGCAGACAGACACUGAUUUACAAAAGGAAGACAAACGGAAAGAUCCGCCGAUAGAACCAGAUAGACCACCCCCAGAUAAAAACAACGAAGCCAUAACACGAUCUCCUUUAGAAGUGGAUAACAGGACAAAGACCGUACCAACUCGCCAACAACAGCUUUCCAAACAGGAUAUUAACCCUGUUGACGAAGAUCGCAUACCAAGAACAUCACCAGAGAUAGAACAUGCACAAGAAGAAAAGAAGGAGAAAGGAAAUAUUUUAUCAGAAAAGAUACUUCAAAAGAGGAAAUACGAUGCUGAAGUCUCAAUAGAACCGAGCACCAAAAACAACAACACACAAAAGGACACACCAACAACUGGGCAGCUUAACAAGCAGGCACAGUUCGAUCACGACAAGAAAAGGAGAAGGCAUCUUGCAAGAGUGCAGACAAGUUCCCCAAAACCCUCGACCAUUCAAUCACACGAGAUCAGCUCAGCAAACAUAAUCUCAACUAAGAGGCCAUUCAAGCAAGCAAGCAUGGAAAUUCAGAAAGUCAACACUCCAGCACUUGUUCCAGGAGAUUUCAUUUACAAAGAAAAGGCCAUGCAACUCUAUAGAUAUCUGAUGAGCCGACAAGGACAAAAACAAUGCGGACAAGAACAGCUAUAUAAAACCUCAAAGAGCGAAGGCUACAUUUCAGGAAAAUCUUUCAUGGAACAAGCAGGGAAAGAAAACACACAAAUGGAGGGCUCCAUCCUAAACGUGUUACUGGAUGAAUGGACAGAACAGAAACAGUUCAACCCAGACGUCACAACUGUACUCCCUGCAGAAUUCGCAAAUAUGGUGCUAGGUCUCAAUUAUAAAAGAGGGGAGCUAUCAGAAUUCAACGAAGACGAUGCACUACAAGCAUUUGAACAACUCGUGCGAGGUAAAAACAUCCUGCACUCGAAGAUGAUCAUGAUACCUCAUCACACAGACAAGAACUACACGCUAUAUGUAAUGAACAAGUACAGAGAUAGCAUCGACAUCCUUGACUCACUGAACUAUGUAAACUACGCCGAUUUGUCUUAG